This 535-nucleotide ribosomal RNA is filed under the name Cyrtocarenum cunicularium. Its description in RNAcentral is "partial 16S ribosomal RNA". It matches the Rfam family "Bacterial large subunit ribosomal RNA", at positions 1837 to 2729 of the family's 2925-position model. Lineage: Eukaryota; Metazoa; Arthropoda; Arachnida; Araneae; Ctenizidae. The record is from RNAcentral.
GUAUGCUUAUAAUACGUAAGACCUGCUCAAUGAUAACUUAAAUAGCCGCAGUACAAUGUGCCAAGGUAGCAUAAUCACUUGCCUUAUAAUUAAAGGCUAGAAUGAAAGGUUUAACAUAUGAAUUUCUUUAUUAUUUUGGAUCAUCUAACUUUACAUAUAAGUAAAAAGGCUUAUAUUUUUAGAAGGACGACAAGACCCUGUCGAGCUUAACUUUAGUUUAACUGGGGCGGUUCCAAACAAAAUCUUUUUUCCAUCAUUUCAUCUCAUCCUUCAAAGAGGAAUCAAACAAGUUACCGCAGGGAUAACAGCAUCAUUCUUUUUAUAAGACCUUAUUUUAAAAAGAGAUUGUGACCUCGAUGUUGAAUUAUUUUAUCUUUCAGGAGCAGAAUCUUGAAAAGAAAGUCUGUUCGACUUUUAAAAAAUUACAUGAUUUGAGUUCAGACCGGCGCAAGCCAGGUCGGUUUCUAUCUUCUUUCAUCAAUUUUCAGUACGAAAGGACCAAAAUUGAAGCACUAAGCUUUCCCUUUUGGCAGAA